ACAGGUGCUGCACGGCUGUCGUCAGCUCGUGUCGUGAGAUGUUGGGUUAAGUCCCGCAACGAGCGCAACCCUCGUCGUUAGUUGCUAACAGUUCGGCUGAGCACUCUAGCGAGACUGCCUUCGCAAGGAGGAGGAAGGUGAGGACGACGUCAAGUCAUCAUGGCCCUUAUGGCUAGGGCUACACACGUGCUACAAUGGGGCGUACAGAGAGUUGCGAUACCGCGAGGUGGAGCUAAUCUCAUAAAGCGUCUCUCAGUUCGGAUAGAUCUCUGCAACUCGAGAUCUUGAAGCUGGAAUCACUACUAAUCGUAGAUCAGCAAUGCUACGGUGAAUACGUUCCCGGGUCUUGUACUCACCGCCCGUCACACCAUGGGAGUUGAUUUCA
Molecule: ribosomal RNA, 385 nt
Filed under: uncultured delta proteobacterium
Lineage: Bacteria; Deltaproteobacteria
Description: bacterial SSU rRNA
Rfam family: Bacterial small subunit ribosomal RNA
Source: RNAcentral